RNAcentral lists this ribosomal RNA (253 nucleotides) under uncultured bacterium. Its description in RNAcentral is "partial 16S ribosomal RNA". It matches the Rfam family "Bacterial small subunit ribosomal RNA", at positions 524 to 776 of the family's 1533-position model. The record is from RNAcentral.
UACGGAGGGUGCGAGCGUUGUCCGGAAUCACUGGGCGUAAAGGGCGCGUAGGUGGCGUCGCAAGUCAACGGUGAAAGCUCGACGCUCAACGUCGAGUCGGCCGUCGAGACUGCGAGGCUUGAGCACUGUAGAGGCAGAUGGAAUUCCGGGUGUAGCGGUGGAAUGCGUAGAGAUCCGGAAGAACACCGGUGGCGAAGGCGGUCUGCUGGGCAGUUGCUGACACUGAGGCGCGACAGCGUGGGGAUCAAACAGG